This 440-nucleotide ribosomal RNA is filed under the name uncultured bacterium. RNAcentral's name for it is "partial 16S ribosomal RNA". It matches the Rfam family "Bacterial small subunit ribosomal RNA", at positions 338 to 795 of the family's 1533-position model. The record is from RNAcentral.
CCUACGGGAGGCUGCAGUGGGGAAUAUUGCACAAUGGGGGAAACCCUGAUGCAGCAACGCCGCGUGAGUGAAGAAGGUAUUCGUUACGUAAAGCUCUAUUAGCAGGGAAGAAAAUGACGGUAACUGAGUAAGAAGCCCCGGCCAACUACGUGUCAGCAACCGCGGUAAUACGUAGGGGGCAAGCGUUCUCCGGAUGUACUGGGUGGAAAGGGAGCGUAGACGGCAGUGCAAGGCUGGGGUGAAAGGCGGGGGCUCAACCCCCGGGCUGCACUGGAAACGGUACGGCUGGAGUGCAGGAGAGGAAAGUGGAAUUCCUAGUGUAGCGGUGAAAUGCGUAGAUAUUAGGAGGAACACCAGUGGCGAAGGCGACUUACUGGACUGUAACUGACGUUGAGGCUCGAAAGCGUGGGGAGCAAACAGGAUUAGAUACCCGGGUAGUC